RNAcentral lists this ribosomal RNA (430 nucleotides) under Clostridioides difficile. RNAcentral's name for it is "bacterial LSU rRNA". It matches the Rfam family "Bacterial large subunit ribosomal RNA", at positions 1237 to 1665 of the family's 2925-position model. Lineage: Bacteria; Bacillati; Bacillota; Clostridia; Peptostreptococcales; Peptostreptococcaceae. The record is from RNAcentral.
CUUCCCAUACGGGUUGAAGCAUGACCGUAAGGACAUGUGGACAGUAUGGGAGUGAGAAUGUUGGCAUGAGUAGCGAGAUGUGGGUGAGAAUCCCACAGGCCGUAAACCCAAGGUUUCCAGGGGAAGGUUCGUCCGCCCUGGGUUAGUCGGGACCUAAGCUGAGGCCGAAAGGCGUAGGUGAUGGACAACAGGUUGAUAUUCCUGUACUACCGAUAACCGUUUGAGAGAAGGGAUGACACAGUAGGAUAAGCUAAGCACACUGUUGGUUAUGUGUGCCCAAGCAUUGAGGCAGUCAAAGUAGGUAAAUCCGCUUUGAUAAUGCUGGGAUGUGAUGGGGAGCGAAAUUUAGUAGCGAAGUAGCUGAUUUCACACUGUCAAGAAAAGUCUCUAUCGAGGUUAAAGGUACCCGUACCGCAAACCGACACAGGUG